Molecule: ribosomal RNA, 433 nt
Filed under: uncultured bacterium
Lineage: Bacteria
Description: partial 16S ribosomal RNA
Rfam family: Bacterial small subunit ribosomal RNA
Source: RNAcentral
AACGAACGCUGGCGGCAUGCCUAACACAUGCAAGUCGAACGAGACCUUCGGGUCUAGUGGCGCACGGGUGCGUAACGCGUGGGAACCUGCCCUUAGGUUCGGAAUAACUCCCCGAAAGGGGUGCUAAUACCGGAUAAUGUCUUAGGACCAAAGAUUUAUCGCCUUUGGAUGGGGCCGCGUUGGAUUAGCUAGUUGGUAGGGUAAAAGCCUACCAAGGCGACGAUCCAUAGCUGGUCGGAGAGGAGGAUCAGCCGCGCUGGGGCUGCGACACGGCCCAGUCUCCUACGGGAGGCUGCAGUAUGUUGUAUUAGACGCUGGACGCUAGCCUGAUCCAGCCAUGCCGCGUGUGUGAGGAAUGCCUUAGGGUUGUAAAGCUCUUUUUCCCGGGAUGAUAAUGACAGUACCGGGAGAAUAAGCACCGGCUAACUCCGUG